Long non-coding RNA from Lotus japonicus, 1217 nucleotides. RefSeq lists it as uncharacterized. NCBI's taxonomy places the organism in Eukaryota, Viridiplantae, Streptophyta, Magnoliopsida, Fabales, Fabaceae. The record is from RefSeq and is a predicted model, not a curated record. The transcript has 5 exons.
AAACCCUUAAAAAUUAAACCCCUAAAACACUCUCUUCUCAGAACUUCACGAUGAUAAGAGAAAGUUUAUGAACCCUAGCUUUCUCCAUCUCAAUUGAUCGUGAUCGACCCUCCUCCCUCCGCCGGCACCGCUCAUCAUCUCAUCUCGCGCGACCCUUCUCUCCACCGGCACGACGCAUCUUGCGUGACCCUCCCCUCUCCGCUGUUGAGGUUGAUGAGGACAUGUUAAUAUUGGUUAGAGGUUGUGUUAAGCCAUUAAGGCAGCAAGGGGGUCAUGGUGUACUUUUACUAGGUGAUUUGGUUUUUAUGACUGAGUUGAUGAUUCUGGUUCGUGAUCCUUAUGUUGGGUGUUAACUGGCGAGGUCUAAUCUAUGCUUGGAGCUGUUCCAAGCUGGUUCCAAAGUUUUUAUAAGCUUUUAUUUCUCGAUUUUUAGUAUCCAUGUAAAUGUAAUGUAUCUUUUGCGAUUUAAAGUUGGUGUUGUUUGGGAUUUGGAAUUGACAUAGAAUGUAGAAUUAAAUGCUACUGGAGAAUGCUGAAUUUUUCAUAGAUAUUUAUAUUGUUUGCAUUAUGUGUCAAGUUAUCUAUUACAUUUGCAUCAAUUAGAAUCUGCCUUGAACUAACUCUUCUCUUGCACUUAUUUCUAGUGCUUACAGAUUAAGUAGGGCUGUAUCAUCUGUGAUGUUUGCAUGGGCAAGUACUUUUGUGGGACAUGCAAACUCUUUGAUGAUGGUGUGCUCAUUACUAAACCUAAGGUUCUCAACUAAGAAAGAUCCAGAGUGGCUAAAGGACUUAAGGGAACAAGAGGUUGUCAUCAAAUGUGACGAAGGAAUCCAAAUGAAUCUGUUAUGAUUUAGACUAUACUGAUUUGUUGCAAUUGAAGUUGGAAUGGCUCCAAAUGUUUUCUAUUGUCUCAAGAUUUUGAAGCCUCCGCAUAUCCACUUGUCCUGGCUUAGGAUUUGGACAUAAAGAAAUGGCACAUACUUAUCCAUUUGUUUUUGCAAAUUUAACCCAUGGUCAGAAUUUUAUCCUCUAUUCUAUGCUAUUUUAUAGAGUAACCCCAGAUGCUUGCUGUUAUGGCUUGUCAUAGGCUGAGAUGUGAUUUAAGUAGGCCAAAUAAGAAUUAGGCCUUCUUCACUUUAACUUCUUCCUGAACAUUUAAAGUUCUUCAGAACAUCAUUUAUUUGAGUUAAUAGAUUUCUUUUGAUUGUUGUUUGAUA